Molecule: ribosomal RNA, 514 nt
Filed under: uncultured bacterium
Lineage: Bacteria
Description: bacterial SSU rRNA
Rfam family: Bacterial small subunit ribosomal RNA
Source: RNAcentral
ACAGGCCUUCGGGCCAUUGGAGACAGGUGGUGCAUGGUUGUCGUCAGCUCGUGUCGUGAGAUGUUGGGUUAAGUCCCGCAACGAGCGCAACCCUUAUCCUUAGUAGCCAGCGGAUAGGCCGGGCACUCUAGGGAGACUGCCAGGGAGAACCUGGAGGAAGGUGGGGAUGACGUCAAAUCAUCAUGCCCCUUAUGAUUUGGGCUACACACGUGCUACAAUGGCGUAAACAAAGGGAGGCGAAGUGGCGACACGGAGCGAACCCCAAAAAUAACGUCUCAGUUCGGAUUGCAGUCUGCAACUCGACUGCAUGAAGCUGGAAUCGCUAGUAAUCGCGGAUCAGAAUGCCGCGGUGAAUACGUUCCCGGGUCUUGUACACACCGCCCGUCACACCAUGGGAGUCAGUAACGCCCGAAGUCAGUGACCCAACCGAAAGGAGGGAGCUGCCGAAGGCGGGACGGAUAACUGGGGUGAAGUCGUAACAAGGUAGCCGUAUCGGAAGGUGCGGCUGGAUCAC